CUAUGGGGCUCUAUGGGUCUAUGGAGUGGCUGUGCAGCUCUAUAAGGCACUGUAGGGCUCUAUAGCGUUGCUAUGGGGCUCUAUGGGGUGGCUUUGGGGCGCUAUGGGGUGCCUAUGGGGCUCUACGGGGUCUAUGGAGUGGCUGUGCGGCUCUAUAAGGCACUGUAGGGCUCUAUAGCGUUGCUAUCGGGCUCUAUGGGGUGGCUUUGGGGCGCUGUAGGGUGCCUAUGGGGCUCUAUGGGGUCUAUGGAGUGGCUGUGCAGCACUAUAAGGCACUACAGGGCUCUAUGACGUGCCUAUGGGGCUCUACGGGGUCUAUGGAGUGGCUAUGAGGCUCUAUGAGGUAGUUAUGAGGCUGUAUGGGGUCCUAUGGGGCUCUAUGGGGUGACUAUGGGGCUCUAUGGGGUCUAUGGAGUGGCUGUGUGGCUCUAUAAGGCACCAUAGGGCUCUAUAAGGUUUUAUGAGGCUCUAUGGGGCUCUACGGGACCAUGGCACUCUAUGGGGUGGUUAUGGGGCUCUAUGGGGGCGCUAUGGGGUGGUUAUGGGGCGCUGUGGGGUGCCUAUGGGGCUCUAUGGGGUGCCUAUGGGGCUCUAUGGGGUCUAUGGAGUGGCUGUGCAGCACUAUAAGGCACUACAGGGCUCUGUGGGGUGGCUAUGGGGCUCUAUGGGGCUCUAUGCAUUGGUUAUAGGGCUCUAUGGCCCUAUGGGGCGGCUAUGGGGCUCUAUGGGGUGCCUAUGGGGCUCUAUGAGGGGUCUAUGGGGGGGUUAUGGGGCUCUAUGGGGUCUAUGGCAUGCCUAUGGAACUCUAUGGGGUCUAUGGAGUGGCUGUGCGGCUCUAUAAGGCAAUGCAGGGUUCUGUGGGGUUGCUAUGGGGUGGCUAUGGGGCUCUAUGGGGGCACUAUGGGGUGGUUAUGGGGCGCUGUGGUGUGCCUAUGGGGCUCUAUGGGGUGCCUAUGGGGCUCUAUGGGGUCUAUGGAGUGGCUAUGUGGCUCUAUGGGGUGGUUAUGAGGCUGUAUGGGGGCCCUAUGGGGCUCAAUGGGACUAUGGCGCUCUAUGGGGUGGCUUUGGGGCUCUAUGGGGCCCUAUGGGGUGGUAAUGGGGCUUUUCGGGUGCGUGGCCUACACUCUUUGGGGGGCGUGGCCUACACUCUUGGAGGCGUGGCCAGUUAAGUCUGGGGGCGUGGCCAAUGAACCUUGAGUGGGCGGGGCCAACCGAGCCUGGGGGCGUGGCCGUAUGCCCUUCGGGGGGGCGUGGCCUACAAUCUUGGAGGCGUGGCCAGCUAAGUCUGGGGGCGUGGCCAAUGAACCUUGAGUAGGCGGGGCCAACCGAGCCAGGGGGCGUGGCCGUAUGCCCCUCGGUGGGCGUGGCCUACAAUCUUGGAGGCGUGGCCAAUGAACCUUGAGUGGGCAUGGCCAACCAAGCCUGGGGGUGUGGCCGUAUGCCCUUGGGGGAGGGGGCGUGGCCUACACUCUUGGGGGCGUGGCCAACCGGGUUUGGGGGUGUGGCCAGCUAAGCCUGGGGGCGUGACCGAUGAACCUAGAGUGGGCGUGGCCAACCGAGCCUGGAGGCGUGGCCAACCGUGUUUGGGGGCGUGGCCAAGCCUUGGAACCCCGUCCAGCAGCAGGCGAGGCGCUAACGAAGCGGCGCAAUUAAGCAGGCGUUAAUGAAGGCGGUACCUGGAGGACGGGCGGGUCGGGGCGCAGGGCCGGGCUGGGGCAGCGCAGGCGUUGCCAGGAGGGGGGGGGGGCGGCGCUGCAGUAAAUUGCGGCCGCACUUCUCCAGGACCCUCAGCGUGCGGCCCACCCAUUGCGGGCACUGCGGGUCAUUAGCGGCUAAUUAAUGCCUCGUUAGGCGCUCGCCAGCCUCUGCCCGCCCCCCCUUAGGUCCUAAUAGCCCCUUCUUACCCGCUAACGGCCACCGAUCGGCCCCUAAUUGGCCUCAAUGAGCUCCUAAUAACCCCCUAUUAGCCUCUAAUGAUCCCCAUUGGCAUCGAAAGCCCCUAAUGACCCCCAAUUAGCCGCUAAUGACCCCUUAUUAAUCCCUAAUGAUGCCUUGUAAGGCAUCAAUGACUCUCAUUAGUAUCUAGCGACCCUCAAUUUGCUCCUGAUGACCCCCAAUUAGCCCCUAAUAAACCCCAGUUAGCUUCUAAUGAUUCCCAAUUAGCCCAUAGCGUUACUUUAUUAGCUUCUAAUGACACCCCUUAUCUCCUUAUUGUCUUCUAAUGACCCCAAUUAGUCGCUAAUAAUUCCCAAUUCACCCCUACUUAGUCCUAUUAGCACCUAAUCACCCUCUAUUAACCCCUUAUGACUGCCUAUUAGUCUCCAAUGACUCCCAUCAACAUCUGAUUACCCCCUAUCAUCCCUAAUUAGCCCCUGAUUACCGAUUUCCCCAUAAUUACCCACAAUUAGCC
Gallus gallus (chicken) is the source of this 2410-nucleotide long non-coding RNA. NCBI's taxonomy places the organism in Eukaryota, Metazoa, Chordata, Aves, Galliformes, Phasianidae. The record is from Ensembl.